GGAUUAGAUACCCUGGUAGUCCUAGCUGUAAACGAUGGAUACUAGGCGUUGCUUGUAUCGACCCGAGCAGUGCCGUAGCUAACGCGUUAAGUAUCCCGCCUGGGGAGUACGCACGCAAGUGUGAAACUCAAAGGAAUUGACGGGGGCCCGCACAAGCGGUGGAGUAUGUGGUUUAAUUCGAUGCAACGCGAAGAACCUUACCAGGACUUGACAUCCCGCGAAUCUUUGGGAGACCGAAGAGUGCCUUAGGGAACGCGGAGACAGGUGGUGCAUGGCUGUCGUCAGCUCGUGCUG
Molecule: ribosomal RNA, 294 nt
Filed under: uncultured bacterium
Lineage: Bacteria
Description: partial 16S ribosomal RNA
Rfam family: Bacterial small subunit ribosomal RNA
Source: RNAcentral